This 243-nucleotide ribosomal RNA is filed under the name uncultured bacterium. RNAcentral's name for it is "partial 16S ribosomal RNA". It matches the Rfam family "Bacterial small subunit ribosomal RNA", at positions 534 to 776 of the family's 1533-position model. The record is from RNAcentral.
GCAAGCGUUGUCCGGAAUCAUUGGGCGUAAAGAGCGUGUAGGCGGCUCGAUAAGUCGGCUGUGAAAGUCCAGGGCUCAACCCUGGAAGGCCGGUGGAAACUGUCGGGCUAGAGUCCGGAAGAGGCGAGUGGAAUUCCCGGUGUAGCGGUGAAAUGCGUAGAUAUCUGGAGGAACACCGGUGGCGAAGGCGGCAUCCUGGACCGGCAUUGACGCUGAGGCGCGAAAGCCAGGGGAGCAAACGGG